This is a non-coding RNA of Echinops telfairi (small Madagascar hedgehog), 375 nucleotides long. Lineage: Eukaryota; Metazoa; Chordata; Mammalia; Afrosoricida; Tenrecidae. The record is from the annotation of a RefSeq genome assembly.
AUGGGCUCUGCCAGCCUAGCUCUCCUCAUUGGUCUUCUCCCAGGCGUCUGUGCUCAGGUGCAGCUGGUGCAGUCUGGGGCAGAGGUAAAGAGACCUGGGGAGUCUUUAAGGAUCUCCUGUAAGACAUCUUGGUUCAGCUUUACUGGAAGCUGGAUUGACUGGAUUAGGCAGACACCUGCAAAGGGCUUGGAAUGGAUAGGAAUGAUUCGUCCUAGUGAUGUUGAUACCAGGUACAACCCAUCCUUCCAAGGAAAAGACACCAUCUCCACAGACAACUCCAUCAGCACCAUGCACCUGCAGUGGAGCAGCCUGAAGGGCUCAGACAUGGCCACGUAUUACUGUGCAGGAGACACAGUGAGAGAACCCCCUUCCUGA